RNAcentral lists this long non-coding RNA (225 nucleotides) under Elaeis guineensis (African oil palm). Its description in RNAcentral is "long non-coding RNA (EGUI_LNC015648)". Lineage: Eukaryota; Viridiplantae; Streptophyta; Magnoliopsida; Arecales; Arecaceae. The record is from RNAcentral.
AUUCUGACUAGUCAAUUGCCGUCAUGUGUCUAGUUAUUAUUAGCUUCUAACUAUUCACACAGAUAGUAGAGACGUGGCAUGAUUAGGUGGUAGAUAUGUUGAAAGGUUCAAAUGAUGAUCAGUCCAGAUGUUGCCACGCAUCAAGAUUUGGGAUAAUUUCAUUUUUAACGAGUUCAUCCUGACUCUUGGUGAGUUCUAUAUAUACAAAAUCAUUUUCUUCCCUUU